GGGUUUGAUCCUGGCUCAGAACGAACGCUGGCGGCGUGGCUAAGACAUGCAAGUCGAACGGACCAUUAAUUCAUUAGUGGUUAGUGGCGAAAGGGUUAGUAACAGGUGGGUAACGUACCCCGUGCUUCGGGAUAGCGUCAGUUGCUUCGGCAACUUUCCGAAAGGGGCGAUAAUACCGAAUAAAAUCAAAAGUCGAUAGGCUUUUGAUCAAAGAUUUAUCGGCACAGGAGCGGCCUGCCUCCUAUCAGCUUGUUGGUGAGGUAAUGGCUCACCAAGGCAUCGACGGGUAGCGGGACGGAGAGGUUGACCCGCAACAUCGGGACUGAGACGCUGCCCGGACCUCCACGGAGGGCUGCAGUAACGAAUAUUGUGCAAUGGGCGAAAGCCUGACACAGCGACGCCGCGUGUAGGAGGAAGUCUUUCGGGAUGUAAACUACUGUCAGGGGGAAGAAAGUGUGCUUCGGCACAUUGAUCUAACCCAGAGGAAGUCACGGCUAACUUCGUGCCAGCAGCCGCGGUAAGACGAAGGUGGCUAGCGUUGUUCGGUAUUACUGGGCUUAAAGCGUGUGUAGGCGGAAAAGUAAGCGUUUUGUGAAAGCCCCCGGCUUAACCGGGGAAUUGCGUGACGAACUGCUUUUCUUGAGGCAAGUAGGGGUGCAUGGAACUCUUGGUGGAGCGGUGGAAUGCGUAGAUAUCAAGAGGAACGCCAGUGGAAAAUCGGUGCACUGGGCUUGUCCUGACGCUGAGACACGAAAGCAUGGGUAGCGAACGGGAUUAGAUACCCCGGUAGUCCAUGCUGUAAACGAUGCCUACUGGGUUGUGGGGGUUCUGACACUCGCACAGCCGAAGCAAAAGUGCUAAGUAGGCCGCCUGGGGAGUACGGUCGCAAGGCUAAAACUCAAAGGAAUUGACGGGGGCUCACACAAGCGGUGGAGCAUGUGGAUUAAUUCGAAACAACGCGCAGAACCUUACCUGGGUUUGACAUGCUUGGAUGCCUUUCCUGAAAGGGAGUAGGCUGCUCUUCGGAGUGAAACUUGCACAGGUGCUGCAUGGCUGUCGUCAGCUCGUGUCGUGAGAUGUCGGGUUAAGUCCUUUAACGAGCGAAACCCUUACCAUUAGUUACCAGCGGGUCAUGCCGGGGACUCUAGUGGGACUGCCGGUGUUAAACCGGAGGAAGGCGGGGACGACGUCAAGUCAUCAUGGCCUUUAUGCCCAGGGCCUCACACGUGCUACAAUGGCGAUCGCAGAGCGACGCGAGACCGCGAGGUGGAGCAAAUCGCAAAAAGGUCGCCCCAGUUCGGAUUGCAGGCUGGCAACUCGCCUGCAUGAAGUUGGAAUCGCUAGUAAUCGCGUAUCAGCUAUGACGCGGUGAAUAUGUUCCUGAGCCUUGUACACACCGCUCGUCAAGUGUUGGAAGUUGGGAGUACCCGAAGUCGGUUUGCUAACCCGCAAGGGAAGCGGCUGCCGACGGUAAGCCCGAUGACUGGCACUAAGUCGUAACAAGGUA
Molecule: ribosomal RNA, 1507 nt
Filed under: metagenome
Description: bacterial SSU rRNA
Rfam family: Bacterial small subunit ribosomal RNA
Source: RNAcentral